Molecule: ribosomal RNA, 429 nt
Filed under: uncultured bacterium
Lineage: Bacteria
Description: bacterial SSU rRNA
Rfam family: Bacterial small subunit ribosomal RNA
Source: RNAcentral
UGGGGAAUCUUGCACAAUGGACGAAAGUCUGAUGCAGCGACGCCGCGUGGAGGAUGACGGUCUUCGGAUUGUAAACUCCUGUUAAGUGGGAAGAAAGACCUGUGUUUAAUACACACAGGGGAUGACAGUACCAUUAGAGAAAGCACCGGCAAACUUCGUGCCAGCAGCCGCGGUAAUACGAAGGGUGCAAGCGUUAUUCGGAGUUACUGGGCGUAAAGAGCGCGUAGGCGGUUAGUUAAGUUAGUUGUUAAAGCCCCCGGCUUAACUGGGGACCAGCAUCUAAUACUGGCUGACUUGAGUACAAGAGAGAGAAGUGGAAUUCUCGGAGUAGCGGUAAAAUGCGUAGAUCUCGAGAGGAACACCGAUGGCGAAGGCAGCUUCUUGGCUUGUAACUGACGCUAAAGUGCGAAAGCGUGGGGAGCAAACAGG